Molecule: ribosomal RNA, 578 nt
Filed under: uncultured fungus
Lineage: Eukaryota; Fungi
Description: eukaryotic LSU rRNA
Rfam family: 5.8S ribosomal RNA (bases 228-381)
Source: RNAcentral
UAGAGGAAGUAAAAGUCGUAACAAGGUCUCCGUAGGUGAACCUGCGGAGGGAUCAUUACAGAGUUCAUGCCCUCCGGGUAGAUCUCCCACCCAUUGCUAUAACUACUCUCGUUGCUUUGGCGGGCCGCUGGGCCCUGCCCGGCCGCCGGCCCCGGCUGGCGCGUGCCCGCCAGAGACCUCACAGACUCUGAAUGUUAGUGUCGUCCGAGUAACUAUAUAAUCGUUAAAACUUUCAACAACGGAUCUCUUGGUUCUGGCAUCGAUGAAGAACGCAGCGAAAUGCGAUAAGUAAUGCGAAUUGCAGAAUUCAGUGAGUCAUCGAAUCUUUGAACGCACAUUGCGCCCUGUGGUAUUCCGCAGGGCAUGCCUGUUCGAGCGUCAUUUCAACCCUCAAGCCUCGCUUGGUGUUGGGCCCUGCCCGCCGCGGCCGGCCCUAAAGACAGUGGCGGCGCCGCCUGGCCCUCAGCGUAGUACAUCUCUCGCUCCAGGGUCCGGCGGCAGCCUGCCAGAACCCCCCCAACUCUGUGGUUGACCUCGGAUCAGGUAGGGAUACCCGCUGAACUUAAGCAUAUCAAUAA